Alnus glutinosa is the source of this 799-nucleotide long non-coding RNA. RefSeq lists it as uncharacterized. Lineage: Eukaryota; Viridiplantae; Streptophyta; Magnoliopsida; Fagales; Betulaceae. The transcript has 3 exons. The record is from RefSeq and is a predicted model, not a curated record.
CAUCCGAGUCUCAGAUAAUGAGACGAUCGUGGGAGGAAGGGAGAUUGAGUGAGAGAAAUAAAAAAAAAAAAAGAACAAAGAAGAAAAUUCCCUUCCUUUUCUCUUCUCUUUUAAUUUCCUCUUCUUUCCUCUUCUAUCUGAAAGAGACAGAGACAAUCUAAGAGAGGAGAGACCCAGUCCCCUUUUCUUUCCCCUAUCUCCUUUCUUCUUCCUUCUCCUUUUCGGUCUUCUUUUCUGUUUCUCACCGAGAGAGAGACCGAGAGGCCAGAGAGAGAGAGAGAUCGAGAGGCCAGAGAGAGAGAGGCCGACUGAGGCAGAGAGAUCAGAGAAGAGAGGGAGAGAUCGUGAGAGAGAGAAUAAGAGAUCGAGAGAUUGAGAGAGCGUUAGAGGGAGGAGCCGAGAGUGAAACCUAGAGAAGAAGCCGGGAGAGGCCGACCCUCGGUGGGCUUCUGGUGAUUGUCGCCGGUGGAGCAGAGGGCUGAUCGGAGGCCGAUCCUCCAGUGGGUGGUACUGGGCGUCGGCGAUGAGCCAGAGGCGCGAUUCCGGCCAGUCCCAGUGACGAUUUCCGGCCAAUUUCUGAUGGGUCAACUCCGGUGGAACAUGGGACACGAUUUCCGGCGGUUCUGGCCGAAAUUUCGGCAACUUCCAGUAGUUUUUCCGACGACUUCCAUAGGCGAAUUCCGGCGGUCCUAGCUCACUGAUUUUUGAGAAUAAGCUAUUAUGAGAACUGCACCAAAGGGCUGUCUAUAGACAAGGAAUAAAGCUCAAGAGGUUUUAAAGCUAAGGACGCAUAGUUUGC